This 278-nucleotide ribosomal RNA is filed under the name uncultured Akkermansia sp. RNAcentral's name for it is "partial 16S ribosomal RNA". It matches the Rfam family "Bacterial small subunit ribosomal RNA", at positions 511 to 788 of the family's 1533-position model. Lineage: Bacteria; Pseudomonadati; Verrucomicrobiota; Verrucomicrobiia; Verrucomicrobiales; Akkermansiaceae. The record is from RNAcentral.
GCCGCCGCGGUAAUACGGAAGGUCCGGGCGUUAUCCGGAUUUAUUGGGUUUAAAGGGAGCGUAGGCCGUCUUAUAAGCGUGUUGUGAAAUGUCGGGGCUCAACCUGGGCAUUGCAGCGCGAACUGUGAGACUUGAGUGCGCAGGAAGUAGGCGGAAUUCGUCGUGUAGCGGUGAAAUGCUUAGAUAUGACGAAGAACUCCGAUUGCGAAGGCAGCCUGCUGUAGCGCAACUGACGCUGAAGCUCGAAAGCGUGGGUAUCGAACAGGAUUAGAUACCCC